AUUGAACGCUGGCGGCAGGCUUAACACAUGCAAGUCGAGCGGGGGAAGGUAGCUUGCUACUGGACCUAGCGGCGGACGGGUGAGUAAUGCUUAGGAAUCUGCCUAUUAGUGGGGGACAACAUCUCGAAAGGGAUGCUAAUACCGCAUACGUCCUACGGGAGAAAGCAGGGAAUCUUCGGACCUUGCGCUAAUAGAUGAGCCUAAGUCGGAUUAGCUAGUUGGUGGGGUAAAGGCCUACCAAGGCGACGAUCUGUAGCGGGUCUGAGAGGAUGAUCCGCCACACUGGGACUGAGACACGGCCCAGACUCCUACGGGAGGCAGCAGUGGGGAAUAUUGGACAAUGGGGGGAACCCUGAUCCAGCCAUGCCGCGUGUGUGAAGAAGGCCUUAUGGUUGUAAAGCACUUUAAGCGAGGAGGAGGCUACUUUAGUUAAUACCUAGAGAUAGUGGACGUUACUCGCAGAAUAAGCACCGGCUGACUCUGUGCCAGCCGCCGCAGUAA
RNAcentral lists this ribosomal RNA (501 nucleotides) under uncultured bacterium. RNAcentral describes it as "partial 16S ribosomal RNA". It matches the Rfam family "Bacterial small subunit ribosomal RNA", at positions 30 to 523 of the family's 1533-position model. The record is from RNAcentral.